Molecule: long non-coding RNA, 1601 nt
Organism: Astatotilapia calliptera (eastern happy)
Lineage: Eukaryota; Metazoa; Chordata; Actinopteri; Cichliformes; Cichlidae
Source: Ensembl
UAAGUGGUGCUAUAUGAAUAAAACUGAACAGAUCUAAAGAAGGGUUCCUGACAUUUAAGUUUAUUAGAACAGGACACAUGGAUGACUGCAGCCCGCUCAGAUCAAGGCUUUGACGUUUCAAAUAUUCCAGUUCAUCCAAGAACCUCAGCAGUUUCUGUUAACAUGUUGUUGUUUUGCUCCCCCAUCUCAACCACUGAGCCUGGUGAUUUCUUUAGAGGAAAAGGACAAAAGGGAACAAAAAGACACCGACUGCAGAGAUGCUGAUCUUCUACACUUUGAAAUCACAAAAUCACAAAUUGACAUUUUCUAGAAAUCUUAAUGUGUUGAGCUGAGCUGUUUAACUUGAACAGUGAACAGUGGUGGAAGAAGUAUUUAGAUCUGACUGGAGUAAAAAUGGCAACAUUUCAGCACAAAAUACUAAAUAUAGAUAAAAUAUUUAAGUGAAGCUCCUGGUUUCAAAAAAAUAAUAAUAAUUAUUAUUAUUAUUGUUAUUAUUUUUACUAAAUUGAUGUCAAACUGCAAUGGAAAAAGGCAUAAUAUUUGAAACAAAUAUGUAUCAGAGGUUUUUGAACUCAAAUCUCUUUAAGAUUCAGCUUUAAUUUGUUUUUUCUCUUGAUAUUCCUGUAUUCUCUCUAAAGCUUUUGUUUGAUCAGCAGCGACAAGACUCACGAUCUCCAGUAUUACGGCAUCACCUCGAAUCUGGAGAGCAUGGGUACCACGCAUGUGUCUGUGCUGACCGAAGAUGGAUCCGCUGUGUCUGUCACCAGCAGCAUCAACCACAUGUCAGUGUCUGGAUGAAACUGUUUCACUGUUAGGAAGCAGCUAUCAAAAAUGUGUCUUCCUUUGAAACUGAAAGAUUGAAAAGGUUUAAGAGAUUAUUUUUAGAAGCUGCUUUGCAAAAUUUCUGUACUCGUACGUGUUGUCAUUCAUUUACCGUUUUCUACUUGCAGAUUUGCCUCCAAAUUCCUGCCUCCAAGCACUGGAAUCAUCCUUAAUGAUGUGCUGUUUGACUUCUGCACAAUAUCUAAUUUUGGUAAGGGAUCAGCUGGAUACAUUUUACACUCAUUAUUAAUGAAAUACAAGCACAGGGAAGAGCAUUGUGGAGAUCAGGAUGCACAGUGAGGAUUGUUCCAAAACUAAUGACACAGAGUUUAUUUUAUUUCCUGCAGUUAUUUUCUUAGGGAAUGAAUAAAGUCUAUUUAGAAUUAACUCAUAAGCAAGGUUUUUGUUACAUUCCAACACACAUUUCUCAGAGGAAAAAAGUAAAACAAACAACAAACAACAUUUCCUUCAGCAUUCAUCAGUGUCUGAUGUAAAUGGCACGUGUCCGGGUUGAAUAAAUGCAUCAUGAUCUGAUUCACAUCAUUCAGAAGCAAUUUAUAUGUGAUCAUUUUUCUCUUAACAGUGAUGAGUGUGGAUUGUAGUUUUGUGCUGUCACUCAAGGCUUUUGUUGUAUUUCUCAGGAGAGCAGCCUCCCUCCUCUAUGGCUCCAGUUCUGCUGAAGUCUCAGUUGAAGACACUGGUGGUUGGAUCGACUGGUGGGAGUAUGACCAGUACUGGAAUGGCUUUGGUACGUGUCCAUGGCAAUCACACAAAUUGCU